GUGAGGAAUAUUGGUCAAUGGACGAGAGUCUGAACCAGCCAAGUAGCGUGAAGGAUGACUGCCCUAUGGGUUGUAAACUUCUUUUAUAUGGGAAUAAAACGUUCCACGUGUGGGAUUUUGUAUGUACCAUAUGAAUAAGGAUCGGCUAACUCCGUGCCAGCAGCCGCGGUAAUACGGAGGAUCCGAGCGUUAUCCGGAUUUAUUGGGUUUAAAGGGAGCGUAGGUGGAUUGUUAAGUCAGUUGUGAAAGUUUGCGGCUCAACCGUAAAAUUGCAGUUGAAACUGGCAGUCUUGAGUACAGUAGAGGUGGGCGGAAUUCGUGGUGUAGCGGUGAAAUGCUUAGAUAUCACGAAGAACUCCGAUUGCGAAGGCAGCUCACUGGACUGCAACUGACACUGAGGCUCGAAAGUGUGGGUAUCAAACAGG
RNAcentral lists this ribosomal RNA (425 nucleotides) under bacterium. RNAcentral describes it as "bacterial SSU rRNA". It matches the Rfam family "Bacterial small subunit ribosomal RNA", at positions 354 to 776 of the family's 1533-position model. The record is from RNAcentral. RNAcentral also lists the same sequence under 1 other name.